This 570-nucleotide long non-coding RNA is filed under the name Mustela putorius furo (domestic ferret). RNAcentral's name for it is "lncRNA (ENSMPUG00000028249.1)". Lineage: Eukaryota; Metazoa; Chordata; Mammalia; Carnivora; Mustelidae. The record is from RNAcentral.
CAGCAUGCCUCAUCUUGCGCAGAAAGGAACAACAGCAGAUCUCUGACUCAAAGCACAACAGAAAAUACAUGGGCAGAGUGGCUGUACAGGUACCAGAUGGCCAGAUGAAUGAAGAAAAAGUCUUCUGCAUUAAACAGGGAGGCAAGAUCAGAUCGAACUUCUGGUUUUCCCUGAGCAGGCUGUCUCAGGCACUGAAAGUCAAGACUGCUGGGACUGGGGAAGAAUCAGGUAAGGAGAUCAUUCCAAAGCUAAAGGCCACCUCCUAAACUUCUUCCCAAAUCUGGACAGUGAUCCAGUGAAAGCACACUCUCAAAAUCCUCCCAUUAUAGGAGUGUGUCCCAAAGGCACAUGGAUUGUCGGCACAAGAAGGCUCCAAAGAGGUCAUAAUAUCUAAGUUCUUCAUUUUAUAAGUGAGGUACUUGAGGCCCAGAGAAGGAACAUGACUCCCCCAAGAUCCCAUGAGCCACUCACUGAAAUUAAAGCCCUAGCCCUCUGACUCAAGCUUGUACUCUUCUGAAAGCAUCACACUAUCAGCUCGAGGAAUAAAAUUAUUGAAAAAAUAAAUAAAGC